CGGACGGGUGAGUAAUGUCUGGGAAACUGCCUGAUGGAGGGGGAUAACUACUGGAAACGGUAGCUAAUACCGCAUAACGUCGCAAGACCAAAGAGGGGGACCUUCGGGCCUCUUGCCAUCGGAUGUGCCCAGAUGGGAUUAGCUAGUAGGUGGGGUAAGGCUCACCUAGGCGACGAUCCCUAGCUGGUCUGAGAGGAUGACCAGCCACACUGGAACUGAGACACGGUCCAG
RNAcentral lists this ribosomal RNA (231 nucleotides) under uncultured bacterium. RNAcentral describes it as "partial 16S ribosomal RNA". It matches the Rfam family "Bacterial small subunit ribosomal RNA", at positions 99 to 334 of the family's 1533-position model. The record is from RNAcentral.